ACCCGCUGAACUUAAGCAUAUCAAUAAGCGGAGGAAAAGAAACUAACAAGGAUUCCCCUAGUAACUGCGAGUGAAGCGGGAAAAGCUCAAAUUUAAAAUCUGGCAGCCUUUGGCUGUCCGAGUUGUAGUCUGGAGAAGUGUUUUCCGCGCUGGACCGUGUACAAGUCUCCUGGAACGGAGCGUCAUAGAGGGUGAGAAUCCCGUCUUUGACACGGACUACCAGUGCUUUGUGAUGCGCUCUCAAAGAGUCGAGUUGUUUGGGAAUGCAGCUCAAAAUGGGUGGUAAACUCCAUCUAAAGCUAAAUAUUGGCGAGAGACCGAUAGCGAACAAGUACCGUGAGGGAAAUAUGAAAAGCACUUUGGAAAGAGAGUUAAACAGUACGUGAAAUUGCUGAAAGGGAAACGCUUGAAGUCAGUCGCGUUUGCUAGGACUCAGCCUUGCAUUAGCUAAGGUGCACUUCCUAGUAGACGGGCCAGCAUCACUUUUGGCUGCGGGAAAAAGGUUAGAGGAAUGUGGCACCUCCGGGUGUGUUAUAGCCUCUGGCUGUAUACCGUGGCUGGGAGUGAGGAACUCAGCACGCCUUUAUGGCGGGGCUUCGGCCACCUUCGUGCUUAGGAUGCUGGCGUAAUGGCUUUAAACGACCCGUCUUGAAACACGG
RNAcentral lists this ribosomal RNA (659 nucleotides) under uncultured fungus. RNAcentral's name for it is "eukaryotic LSU rRNA". It matches the Rfam family "Eukaryotic large subunit ribosomal RNA", at positions 23 to 664 of the family's 3401-position model. The record is from RNAcentral. Lineage: Eukaryota; Fungi.